Molecule: long non-coding RNA, 264 nt
Filed under: Vigna radiata
Lineage: Eukaryota; Viridiplantae; Streptophyta; Magnoliopsida; Fabales; Fabaceae
Description: long non-coding RNA (VRAD_LNC009001)
Source: RNAcentral
CUUAUCAAAUCUGUCAUGCUUCAAAGUAUCAUUAAAAAAAGUCAUCCACAUAAAUAAUUGAAUUCUUCAAUUCACUCUAAUUCACGUAAGCAUGAUUCACACAAAUAAUUAAAUUUUUUAACUCACCCUAAUUUAUGUUCAUUAAACCUUAAUAACUUUUAAAUAGAUAAGACCUUAGACUACGUAUAAAUAAAAAAACAGAAAAUAAAAUAUCAAUUAAUUUAAAAUAAAAUCUAUUAAAUUUAUCUCUAAAAUAAAGUAAUA